RNAcentral lists this transfer RNA (72 nucleotides) under Camelus bactrianus (Bactrian camel). It matches the Rfam family "tRNA". Rfam says of the family: Transfer RNA (tRNA) molecules are approximately 80 nucleotides in length. Their secondary structure includes four short double-helical elements and three loops (D, anti-codon, and T loops). RNAcentral also lists the same sequence under 2 other names. Lineage: Eukaryota; Metazoa; Chordata; Mammalia; Artiodactyla; Camelidae. The record is from Rfam by way of RNAcentral.
GAGGGUAUAGCUCAGUGGUAGAGUGGAUGCUUAGCAUGCACAAGGUCCUGGGUUCAAUCCCCAGUACCUCCA